CCUAAAGCUCUUUCUUUACUAAAGCUUAACUCCAAUCACUAAAAUUAAUAAAACUCAGGAGUUAAAAGAAUGGGUUCGAAGAAAAACUUAGCUUUUACAUUGAAUGACUAUUAUAUAAAGAUGUUAUAAAGAGGUCUAACUGUAGUAGAACCUAUGCAACGCGAAUUAGAUUUAAUUGGAUUUGGUUUCAGAUAACAAGUGGCUAAAGAAAAAUACAAUACAAUACGGUACAAUAUUAUACGGUCGAAAAACUACGAGACAAGAGGUACAUGUUGACCCAAGACUUAUUGCAAGUUGCAACAAUAGGAACUACUAACAAAACAAAACACAAACUAAGAGAAAUUAACUAGAGGAAAGUGAAUAGAAUUAUAUUAGGCUAUUCAUAACUUUCCCUUUAUUCUCAAAACUAAACUCACACCAGCACAAGUACAUAGUCUCUGAGGCCUAAUUUUGGUCAUGACAUUUAGGACAUUUACUGCAAAUCUGAUUCUUACAUGAGCAAAUUUUACAAAAUUUGCCGACGAUUAUUUGGGCAUGACAUUUAGGACAUUUGCUGCAAAUCUGAUAUUUACAUGAGCAAAUUUUACAAGCUUUGCCGGCGAUUUUGCGGAUGAUUCCGGCACCCGUCUUCUGAUCAGUAAUGUUGUUUGAAUUCAUUUCUGCAUCAAAUUAGGUUAUGUAGAGUAAUGUAUUAGUUAUAGGUUAACCAAUAAAGGAGGAAAUUAAUUUGUGACCAUAUUAAUUCUCAGUGCUGCAAACAUAAAUAAAUUAGGAUGAACGUAGGUUCCUCCUCUAAUAACUUAAGUUUUAAAUAAAAUGAUCACACAUUUGGCAGGACAGGUCGCUACUUCAAAUGAAGUGUCCUUGCUCUAGCAAUAGAAUUUAAACUAUUAUAAAAAGUAAUCACCAAAUUCAAUAAAGAUAAAAAGAAAAACUUUUGCGGUGUUGCGAUAUCCUUAGAUUACUAAAUAUUAUACAGGUAGAAGGUCUCAGAAAGUUUCAAAACGACAUUAAACUUUCAGCAAAAUGUUAAAUAAUACUUAUGUAAACAUCUACUCACUUCGUUUCAAUCAUGUGUUUUACUUUCCUUUUAAAUCACUCCAGCAAAGAAUGCUACCAACGUUUAAUAAUUAUUUAAUUCCGAAAUUCCAAUUUUUUCAUUAAUGAGAUUUCUUUAUAAGAUAUUAUGACAUAUUUAAUAUCACAAAAUUCUAAGCCAAAUGUUACAUGAAUAUUUAAACAUUUAUAACAUCCGUUCGCAGACUCAAAAUGUUAAAAAUGAAAAUAACUUCUGGAGUAGUAAUAGAUAGAAGAAGUAAAUAAACCUUGGGUAAUUGGAGCAGCUGCCUUAGACGUCUCCCUUGCAUC
RNAcentral lists this long non-coding RNA (1368 nucleotides) under Nicotiana tabacum (common tobacco). RNAcentral describes it as "long non-coding RNA (NTAB_LNC001711)". The record is from RNAcentral. Lineage: Eukaryota; Viridiplantae; Streptophyta; Magnoliopsida; Solanales; Solanaceae.